AGUUGGUGGGGACGUCACAGGGGGCCGCGCGUCGGCGGUCAAAAACCGGCGUGCGGUCCCUGGGGCCCAGAUCGUUUACCGUGAAAAAAUUAGAGUGUUCAAAGCAGGCAGACAUCAACCAUCUGCCACCGAAUACAUUAGCAUGGGAUAAUGGAAUAGGACCCUGUCCUCCUAUUUUCAGUUGGUUUUCGAGGACCAGGGUAAUGAUUAAUAGGGAUAGUUGGGGGCAUUAAUAUUUAAUUGUCAGAGGUGAAAUUCUUGGAUUUAUGAAAGAUUAACUUCUGCGAAAGCAUCUGCCAAGGAUGUUUUCAUUAAUCAAGAACGAAAGUUAGGGGAUCGAAGACGAUCAGAUACCG
Molecule: ribosomal RNA, 356 nt
Filed under: Acanthamoeba sp.
Lineage: Eukaryota; Discosea; Longamoebia; Acanthamoebidae
Description: SSU rRNA
Rfam family: Eukaryotic small subunit ribosomal RNA
Source: RNAcentral